This 26-nucleotide non-coding RNA is filed under the name Mus musculus (house mouse). The record is from RNAcentral. Lineage: Eukaryota; Metazoa; Chordata; Mammalia; Rodentia; Muridae.
UAAGCCCCUCGCAUGCACCACUCCUU